This 253-nucleotide ribosomal RNA is filed under the name uncultured bacterium. RNAcentral's name for it is "partial 16S ribosomal RNA". It matches the Rfam family "Bacterial small subunit ribosomal RNA", at positions 524 to 776 of the family's 1533-position model. The record is from RNAcentral.
UACGAGGGGUCCUAGCGUUGUUCGGAAUCAUUGGGCGUAAAGAGCUCGUAGGUGGCUUAGUAAGUCAGGUGUGAAAGCCCAGGGCUCAACCCUGGAAGUGCACUUGAAACUGCAUAGCUUGAGUACGGUAGAGGUGAGAGGAAUUCCUGGUGUAGUGGUGAAAUACGUAGAUAUCAGGAGGAACAUCGGUGGCGAAGGCGGCUCACUGGACCAGUACUGACACUGAGGAGCGAAAGCAUGGGGAUCAAACAGG